AUCGCUUCUCGGCCUUUUGGCUAAGAUCAAGUGUAGAUCUUGCCGUAUUGUAAUUUCUUUUUAAGUGGGAAAGAAUAACAAAAGCAACCUAGAAAUCCCUUCCCCAAUUCUAUAUAUUGAAUAUUUAUAAAUUACAGCAUA
Molecule: small nuclear RNA, 141 nt
Filed under: Fukomys damarensis (Damara mole-rat)
Lineage: Eukaryota; Metazoa; Chordata; Mammalia; Rodentia; Bathyergidae
Description: U2 spliceosomal RNA
Rfam family: U2 spliceosomal RNA
About the family: U2 is a small nuclear RNA (snRNA) component of the spliceosome (involved in pre-mRNA splicing). Complementary binding between U2 snRNA (in an area lying towards the 5' end but 3' to hairpin I) and the branchpoint sequence (BPS) of the intron results the bulging out of an unpaired adenosine, on the BPS, which initiates a nucleophilic attack at the intronic 5' splice site, thus starting the first of two transesterification reactions that mediate splicing.
Source: Rfam by way of RNAcentral